Molecule: ribosomal RNA, 634 nt
Filed under: Stylocellus sp. Peninsula 27
Lineage: Eukaryota; Metazoa; Arthropoda; Arachnida; Opiliones; Stylocellidae
Description: eukaryotic LSU rRNA
Rfam family: Eukaryotic large subunit ribosomal RNA
Source: RNAcentral
GUGUAACAACUCACCUGCCGAAGCAACUAGCCCUGAAAAUGGAUGGCGCUUCAGCGUCGAGCCCAUACCCGGCCGUCGCGGCUGUAGCCAAGUGCUUUAUGUCGCGACGAGUAGGAGGGCGCAGGGGUGCGCGUUGAAGGUGCCGGGCGCAAGCCCGUCUGGAGCCGCCCCUGGUGCAGAUCUUGGUGGUAGUAUCAAAUACUCAAGUGAGAACCUUGAGGACUGAGGUGGAGAAGGGUUCCAUGUGAACAGCAGUUGAACUUGGGUCAGUCGGUCCUAAGGGAUAGGAGAAAUCCGUUCCGAAGCGGGACCUCUCUUGACAAAGAAGUUGGUCCCGCCGCAGACCGAAAGGGAAUCGGGUUAAUAUUCCCGAACCCGGACAUGGAGAUCGACCCCUCACGGGGUCUAGUGCGGUAACGCAAGCGAACUCGGAGACGUCGACGGGAGUCCCGGGAAGAGUUGUCUUUUCUUUGUAAGGGCUCGGCUCCCUGGAAUCGGCUCGCCCGGAGAUAGGGAUGCUGUACCCGUAAAGCACCGCGCCUCUUGCGGUGUCCGGAGCGCUCCCGUCGGCCCUUGAAAAUCCGAGCGAGAGGUUGUGAUUUUCGUGCCGGACCGUACCCAUAUCCGCAGCAGG